CGUUAACCACUGUGCCACGACCCGAACUCCAAUAAUGUGGGUGUUUUAUAUUUUGCUUUGCUUUGAUCUUUAGAAUGCGAAGACAGCUGUUUCACUCAAGACCAAAAGAUUGAGGACUGGAGAGAUCUGUUAUCAAGAAACUGACUUGACCACAAGAACAAUUUACAGAUGGUAAACAUGAUCGCCUUAUUUAUAACAAGUGUAAGCCAUACUCAAGCUACUUUUUUGGUGUGUUUUUUAAAGAAAGAUACUAAAACAGAAAGGAGCUUGGAACUAUUGCCACCCUUGCCCUCCAUGUUCCUAGCAGCACGAAGGUAGCUGAACUUGACCAUUCAAAGAACUUGGCAUCGGCUAAGUGGAAGCCUCUAUUUUCCUUAUUCUUUAUCCUUCCUAGGCUUUUCAUUACCCAGACUAGAGUGGUAAGUAGUAGUUUUCAUACAUACAAUUGUCAUAAGUAGCUACUAAAAU
Molecule: long non-coding RNA, 468 nt
Filed under: Sus scrofa (pig)
Lineage: Eukaryota; Metazoa; Chordata; Mammalia; Artiodactyla; Suidae
Description: lncRNA (ENSSSCG00005015271.1)
Source: RNAcentral